RNAcentral lists this ribosomal RNA (740 nucleotides) under uncultured bacterium. Its description in RNAcentral is "bacterial SSU rRNA". It matches the Rfam family "Bacterial small subunit ribosomal RNA", at positions 49 to 804 of the family's 1533-position model. The record is from RNAcentral.
CUACACAUGCAAGUCGAACGAAACUUUUUGCUUCGGUAGAAAGUUUAGUGGCGGACGGGUGAGUAACGCGUGAGGAACCUGCCUUUCAGAGGGGGAUAAUGUCUGGAAACGGACACUAAUACCGCAUGACAUUUUCUGUUCACAUGGACAGAAAAUCAAAGGAGCAAUCUGCUGAAAGAUGGACUCGCGUCCGAUUAGCUAGAUGGUGAGAUAAUAGCCCACCAUGGCGACGAUCGGUAGCCGGACUGAGAGGUUGAACGGCCACAUUGGGACUGAGACACGGCCCAGACUCCUACGGGAGGCAGCAGUGGGGGAUAUUGCACAAUGGAGGAAACUCUGAUGCAGCAACGCCGCGUGAAGGAAGACGGUCUUCGGAUUGUAAACUUUUGUACCUAGGGACGAUAAUGACGGUACCUAGGCAGCAAGCUCCGGCUAACUACGUGCCAGCAGCCGCGGUAAUACGUAGGGAGCGAGCGUUGUCCGGAUUUACUGGGUGUAAAGGGUGCGUAGGCGGCCAAGCAAGUCAGCUGUGAAAACUAUGGGCUUAACCCAUAGCCUGCAAUUGAAACUGUUUGGCUUGAGUGAAGUAGAGGUAGGUGGAAUUCCCGGUGUAGCGGUGAAAUGCGUAGAGAUUGGGAGGAACACCAGUGGCGAAGGCGACCUACUGGGCUUUAACUGACGCUGAAGCACGAAAGCAUGGGUAGCAAACAGGAUUAGAUACCCUGGUAGUCCAUGCUGUA